This 1364-nucleotide ribosomal RNA is filed under the name uncultured bacterium. RNAcentral describes it as "bacterial SSU rRNA". It matches the Rfam family "Bacterial small subunit ribosomal RNA", at positions 28 to 1381 of the family's 1533-position model. The record is from RNAcentral.
GAUUAACGCUGGCGGCGUGCCUAACACAUGCAAGUCGAGCGGCAGCGAGUUUUACACUGAAUUCUGGAAACUUCUGGUAUAAAUAGAAGAGUUAUUCAAGAAUUUUGUGUAAAAUGUCGGCGAGCGGCGGACGGCUGAGUAACGCGUGGGAAUGUACCCCAAAGUGAGGGAUAACGCACCGAAAGGUGUGCUAAUACCGCAUAUGAUCUUCGGAUUAAAGCCUUCGGGCGCUUUGGGAACAGCCUGCGUCAGAUUAGAUAGUGGUGAGGUAAUGGCUCACCAAGUCGACGAUCUGUAACUGGUUUGAGAGGAUGAUCAGUCAGACUGGAACUGAGACACGGUCCAGACUCCUACGGGAGGCAGCAGUGAGGAAUCUUCCACAAUGGGCGAAAGCCUGAUGGAGCAACGCCGCGUGCAGGAUGAAGGCCUUCGGGUUGUAAACUGCUUUUAUAAGUGAGGAUUAUGACAGUAACUUAUGAAUAAGGAUCGGCUAACUACGUGCCAGCAGCCGCGGUCAUACGUAGGAUCCGAGCGUUAUCCGGAGUGACUGGGCGUAAAGAGUUGCGUAGGUGGUUUAAUAAGCGAAUAGUGAAAUCUGGUGGCUCAACCAUUCAGACUAUUAUUCGAACUGUUGAACUCGAGAGCAGAAGAGGUAGCUGGAAUUUCUAGUGUAGGAGUGAAAUCCGUAGAUAUUAGAAGGAACACCGAUGGCGUAGGCAGGCUACUGGGCUGUUUCUGACACUGAGGCACGAAAGCGUGGGGAGCGAACCGGAUUAGAUACCCGGGUAGUCCACGCCGUAAACGAUGGAUACUAGCUGUUUGGGGUAUCGACCCCCUGAGUAGCGAAGCUAACGCGUUAAGUAUCCCGCCUGUGGAGUACGAUCGCAAGAUUAAAACAUAAAGGAAUUGACGGGGACCCGCACAAGCGGUGGAUCAUGUUCUUUAAUUCGAUGAUAACCGAUAAACCUUACCAGGUCUUGACAUCCUUGGAAUCUUUCAGAAAUGAGAGAGUGCUUUUUAAGAGCCAAGUGACAGGUGAUGCAUGGCCGUCGUCAGCUCGUGUCGUGAGAUGUUUGGUUAAGUCCAUCAACGAGCGCAACCCUUGUGAAUAGUUGUAUUUUUCUAUUCAGACUGCCCCGGCAACGGGGAGGAAGGAGGGGAUGACGUCAGGUCAGUAUUUCCCUUACGUCCUGGGCUAGAAACGUGAUACAAUGGCUAGUACAAUGCGCAGCGAAGCCGCGAGGUGAAGCAAAUCGCAUCAAAGCUAGUCCCAGUUCGGAUUGUAGGCUGAAACUCGCCUGCAUGAAGUCGGAAUCGCUAGUAAUCGCAGAUCAGCAUGCUGCGGUGAAUACGUUCCCGGGUCU